RNAcentral lists this ribosomal RNA (482 nucleotides) under uncultured bacterium. RNAcentral's name for it is "partial 16S ribosomal RNA". It matches the Rfam family "Bacterial small subunit ribosomal RNA", at positions 28 to 507 of the family's 1533-position model. The record is from RNAcentral.
GACGAACGCUGGCGGCGUGCUUAACACAUGCAAGUCGAACGCUGAAGCUCAGCUUGCUGGGUGGAUGAGUGGCGAACGGGUGAGUAACACGUGAGUAACCUGCCCUCUGCUUUGGGAUACCGCCCGGAAACGGGUGCUAAUACUGGAUAUUCACAGAUUCUCGCAUGGGGGUUGGUGGAAAGGCUUUUUCUGGUGGAGGAUGGGCUCGCGGCCUAUCAGCUUGUUGGUGGUGUGAUGGCCUACGAAGGCUUUGACGCGUAGCCGGGCUGAGAGGGUGACCGGUCACAUUAGGACUGAGAGACGGCUCAGACGCGUACGGCAGGCAGAAGUGGGGAAUAUUGCACAAUGGGCGAAAGCUGGAUGCAGCGACGCCGCGUGAGGGAUGGAGGCCGUGGGGUUGUAAACGUCUUUCGCUCAGGGACAAGCCGCAGCUUUGGGUUGUGGUGAGGGUAGUGGGUAAAGAAGCUCCGGCUAACUACGUG